GACAGGGUGGCCGAGUGGUCCAAGGCGCUACGUUCAGGUCGUAGUUUCUUUUAUAGAAGCAUGGGUUCGAAUCCCGUCCCUGUUA
Molecule: transfer RNA, 85 nt
Filed under: Enterocytozoon bieneusi H348
Lineage: Eukaryota; Fungi; Microsporidia; Enterocytozoonidae
Description: tRNA-Leu (CAG) (tRNA-Leu-CAG-1-1)
Rfam family: tRNA
About the family: Transfer RNA (tRNA) molecules are approximately 80 nucleotides in length.
Source: Rfam by way of RNAcentral